UAUUGUUCAAUGGGCGAAAGCCUGAACCAGCAACGCCGCGUGCGGGAAGAAGGUUUUCGGAUUGUAAACCUCUGUCGCAGAUGCCGAAGAAAGUGACGGAAAUCUGUGAGGAAGCCCCGGCUAACUACGUGCCAGCAGCCGCGGUAAUACGUAGGGGGCGAGCGUUGUCCGGAAUUACUGGGCGUAAAGGGUGCGUAGGCGGUUCUUUAAGUUGGAUGUGAAAUACCCGGGCUUAACCUGGGGGGUGCAUUCAAGACUGGGGAACUAGAGUUCAGGAGAGGGAAGCGGAAUUCCUAGUGUAGCGGUGAAAUGCGUAGAUAUUAGGAGGAACACCAGUGGCGAAGGCGGCUUUCUGGACUGACACUGACGCUGAGGCACGAAAGCGUGGGGAGCAAACAGG
RNAcentral lists this ribosomal RNA (400 nucleotides) under uncultured bacterium. Its description in RNAcentral is "partial 16S ribosomal RNA". It matches the Rfam family "Bacterial small subunit ribosomal RNA", at positions 362 to 776 of the family's 1533-position model. The record is from RNAcentral.